Molecule: small nucleolar RNA, 142 nt
Organism: Salvia splendens (bonfire salvia)
Lineage: Eukaryota; Viridiplantae; Streptophyta; Magnoliopsida; Lamiales; Lamiaceae
Product: small nucleolar RNA F1/F2/snoR5a
Exons: 1
Source: RefSeq, a predicted model, not a curated record
UAAUGCCCUUGGUAUCUAAUGUCAAGAACUGUAUUAUAUGUCUUGAUGUUUCGUUUUUGAUGGCACAAAACAACUUGAACAGACCUUGCGACACAGAUUGCUUCUCUAUAAGUUUUCUGUUACUAAUUUCCUGUCUACAUAU